GUUUGAUCCUGGCUCAGGAUGAACGCCGGCGGUGUGCCUANCACUUNCAAGUCGUACGCACUGGCCCAGCUGAUUGAUGGUGCUUGCACCUGAUUGACGAUGGAUCACCAGUGAGUGGCGGACGGGUGAGUAACACGUAGGUAACCUGCCCCGGAGCGGGGGAUAACAUUUGGAAACAGAUGCUAAUACCGCAUAACAACAAAAGCCACAUGGCUUUUGUUUGAAAGAUGGCUUUGGCUAUCACUCUGGGAUGGACCUGCGGUGCAUUAGCUAGUUGGUAAGGUAACGGCUUACCAAGGCGAUGAUGCAUAGCCGAGUUGAGAGACUGAUCGGCCACAAUGGAACUGAGACACGGUCCAUACUCCUACGGGAGGCAGCAGUAGGGAAUCUUCCACAAUGGGCGCAAGCCUGAUGGAGCAACACCGCGUGAGUGAAGAAGGGUUUCGGCUCGUAAAGCUCUGUUGUUGGAGAAGAACGUGCGUGAGAGUAACUGUUCACGCAGUGACGGUAUCCAACCAGAAAGUCACGGCUAACUACGUGCCAGCAGCCGCGGUAAUACGUAGGNUGGCCAAGCGUUAUUCCGGAUUUAUUGGGCGUAAAAGCGAGCGCCAGGCGGNUUGCUUAGGUCUAAUGUGAAAGCCUUCGGCUUAANCCGAAGAAGUGCAUCGGAAACCCGGGCGACUUGAGUGCAGAAGAGGACAGUGGAACUCCAUGUGUAGCGGUGGAAUGCGUAGAUAUAUGGAAGAACACCAGUGGCGAAGGCGGCUGUCUGGUCUGCAACUGACGCUGAGGCUCGAAAGCAUGGGUAGCGAACAGGAUUAGAUACCCCUGGUAGUCCAUGCCGUAAACGAUGAGUGCUAGGUGUUGGAGGGUUUCCGCCCUUCAGUGCCGGAGCUAACGCAUUAAGCACUCCGCCUGGGGGAGUACGACCGCNAGGUUGAAACUCAAAGGAAUUGACNGGGGGCCCNCACCAAGCCGGUGGAGCAUGUGGUUUAAUUCGAAGCUACGCGAAGAACCUUACCAGGUCUUGACAUCUUGCGCUAACCUUAGAGAUAAGGCGUUCCCUUCGGGGACGCAAUGACAGGUGGUGCAUGGUCGUCGUCAGCUCGUGUCGUGAGAUGUUGGGUUAAGUCCCGCAACGAGCGCAACCCUUGUUACUAGUUGCCAGCAUUAAGUUGGGCACUCUAGUGAGACUGCCGGUGACAAACCGGAGGAAGGUGGGGACGACGUCAGAUCAUCAUGCCCCUUAUGACCUGGGCUACACACGUGCUACAAUGGACGGUACAACGAGUCGCAAACUCGCGAGAGUAAGCUAAUCUCUUAAAGCCGUUCUCAGUUCGGACUGUAGGCUGCAACUCGCCUACACGAAGUCGGAAUCGCUAGUAAUCGCGGAUCAGCAUGCCGCGGUGAAUACGUUCCCGGGCCUUGUACACACCGCCCGUCACACCAUGGGAGUUUGUAACGCCCAAAGUCGGUGGCCUAACCUUUAUGGAGGGAGCUUAAAUGGAGGCGGGACAGAUGACUGGGGUGAAGUCGUAAACAAGGUAAC
Molecule: ribosomal RNA, 1549 nt
Filed under: uncultured bacterium
Lineage: Bacteria
Description: bacterial SSU rRNA
Rfam family: Bacterial small subunit ribosomal RNA
Source: RNAcentral